CUGAAUAACUAAAUUCUUUUAGUUUUUCAUACCCCAUUGUUAACUAUUCCUGUGUUGCUUCCACGAGGCCUGGCCUGUUUUUAGGCCCUUUGGCUUGUUGUGUUUACUCACGCUUGACAGAGAGUUGCCCGUGGUAAGACCAUUAAUUUAAACUUGUGAUAUACAUACUCUGUCUGAUAUCUUAUUGCAAAUUAAAUA
This 198-nucleotide unclassified non-coding RNA is filed under the name uncultured Ascomycota. RNAcentral describes it as "sequence contains ITS1". Lineage: Eukaryota; Fungi; Ascomycota. The record is from RNAcentral.